GACGAACGCUGGCGGCGUGCUUAACACAUGCAAGUCGAACGGAAAGGCCCUGCUUUUGUGGGGUGCUCGAGUGGCGAACGGGUGAGUAACACGUGAGUAACCUGCCCUUGACUUUGGGAUAACUUCAGGAAACUGGGGCUAAUACCGGAUAGGAGCUCCUGUGCAUGGUGGGGGGUGGAAAGGUUCGGCGGGUGGGGAUGGACUUGCGGCUUAUCAGCUUGUUGGUGGGGUAGUGGCUUACCAAGGCUUUGACGGGUAGCCGGCCUGAGAAGGUGACCGGGCACAUUAGGACUGAGAUACGGCCCAGACUCCUACGGGAGGCAGCAGUGGGGAAUAUUGCACAAUGGGCGGAAGCCUAAUGCAGCAACGCCGCGUGCGGGAUGACGGCCUUCGGGUUGUAAACCGCUUUCGCCUGUGACGAGGCGUGAGUGACGGUAAUGGGUAAAGAAGCACCGGCUAACUACGUG
RNAcentral lists this ribosomal RNA (467 nucleotides) under uncultured bacterium. Its description in RNAcentral is "partial 16S ribosomal RNA". It matches the Rfam family "Bacterial small subunit ribosomal RNA", at positions 28 to 507 of the family's 1533-position model. The record is from RNAcentral.